Molecule: ribosomal RNA, 919 nt
Filed under: Enterobacter asburiae
Lineage: Bacteria; Pseudomonadati; Pseudomonadota; Gammaproteobacteria; Enterobacterales; Enterobacteriaceae
Description: bacterial SSU rRNA
Rfam family: Bacterial small subunit ribosomal RNA
Source: RNAcentral
AAAAUACCCGCGGCUCACCCCCCGGAAACCUCCUUCCCGACACCUGGCCGCGCUAGAAGUCCUUUUAGAGGGGGGGUAGAAUUCCCAGGUGGUAGCCGCUGAAAAUGCGUAGGAGAUCCUGGAGGGAAAUACCCGUUGGCGAAGGGCGGCCCCCCUGGCCAAAGACUGACGCUCAGGUGCGAAAGCCGUGGGGGAGCAAACAAGGAUUAGAUACCCUGGUAGUCCCCCCCGUUAAACGAUGUCGACUUGGAGGGUUGUGGCCCUUGAGGGCGUGGCUUCCCGGAGCUAACGCGUUAAGUCGACCGCCUGGGGAGUACGGCCGCAAGGUUAAAACUCAAAUGAAUUGACGGGGGGCCGCACAAGCGGUGGAGCAUGUGGUUUAAUUCGAUGCAACGCGAAGAACCUUACCUACUCUUGACAUCCAGAGAACUUAGCAGAGAUGCUUUGGUGCCUUCGGGAACUCUGAGACAGGUGCUGCAUGGCUGUCGUCAGCUCGUGUUGUGAAAUGUUGGGUUAAGUCCCGCAACGAGCGCAACCCUUAUCCUUUGUUGCCAGCGGUCCGGCCGGGAACUCAAAGGAGACUGCCAGUGAUAAACUGGAGGAAGGUGGGGAUGACGUCAAGUCAUCAUGGCCCUUACGAGUAGGGCUACACACGUGCUACAAUGGCGCAUACAAAGAGAAGCGACCUCGCGAGAGCAAGCGGACCUCAUAAAGUGCGUCGUAGUCCGGAUUGGAGUCUGCAACUCGACUCCAUGAAGUCGGAAUCGCUAGUAAUCGUAGAUCAGAAUGCUACGGUGAAUACGUUCCCGGGCCUUGUACACACCGCCCGUCACACCAUGGGAGUGGGUUGCAAAAGAAGUAGGUAGCUUAAAUCUUCGGGAAGGCAGCUACCACUUCGUACUAUUUUUUUGUUUAAGGU